AUGAAAACAAGCAGAAAUCAAGAUGUAAUAUUUUUAUAAUUUUAUUGAUGUUAAAUUAAAGUUCCAGCUUAGUUAUGUUAUCAGUGCAAGUCACUUCAAUCUGUAUAGCACCAAAGGAAACAAUGGUGUUUUCAAGGUGCUUCACACUGUAAGGUAACAACUUACAGUAUUAAAAAGAAAACCCCAAAAGAACAAACCCCUCUGAGCAAGCACGAGGCGACAGUGGGAAGGAAAAACUCCCUUUUAAGAGGAAGAAACCUUCGACAGAACCAGGCUCAGGGCGGGGUGGCCAUCUGCCGCGACCAUUCCUGGGGAUUUCAAAAAUGACUUGAUCUGAUCUAAAUGUAAAACUAGCUCAUUUAAAGUGUCCAGUGAGUUUUAGAAAAUAUUUUGCUGUUGAUAUCACGAUGUCACUAUAAAGUGGAAACUUUGUUUCUUCCCUUACACCUCCCAAAAAAUGCACGCACCGAUGAGAAGCACUUAGAUAUGCAACUUGGUUCUGGGAAUAUCUUUCUUUUGAAAGUUUUAACAAUAUCUUCAUCAAGAUCUUGGAAGUUGAAUUGCAAGAUUGUCACCAUAACCGCUGCAUGCUUCCAUCUUUUACAGAGGGAUUUGAAAACCCUCUCGCUGAGUUUCUUGAACUUCUCUGGUGGGAUUUUGUCGUAUCUGGCCCUGAUUUCAGUCCAGAUUUUCAUGUGUGUCUUUUGUCCCCUUUUUCGUCUCCUCAUCCCCAAAGGGUCGCAGCGGGCUGCCCCUCCCUGACCGUGGUUCUGCCAGAGGGUGCUUCCUGUUAAAAGAAAUAGUCAGGACCCAGAUGAACCUGUGCUGGAAUUCAGUGUGGGCUUUCUACUUACAGGGUGGUGGGUCUCAGAGGACAAUUGCUACCCCUGUUGAAGUGAACAACGUGUGGAGUGCAACUGGC
This is a long non-coding RNA of Astatotilapia calliptera (eastern happy), 922 nucleotides long. The record is from Ensembl. Lineage: Eukaryota; Metazoa; Chordata; Actinopteri; Cichliformes; Cichlidae.